RNAcentral lists this unclassified non-coding RNA (571 nucleotides) under Portunus trituberculatus (swimming crab). RNAcentral describes it as "uncharacterized LOC123509717, transcript variant X1". The record is from RNAcentral. Lineage: Eukaryota; Metazoa; Arthropoda; Malacostraca; Decapoda; Portunidae.
AGAAGUUUGGAAGAGCGUGGCUGUUCCGAGCAUCAUAGCACACAAACAAACAAGAUGCAUAGUAGAAAGAGGGAUUGGCCAACUGAAGAGGUGGUUUCAUGUUCUGCAUGGUGAAAUCAGAGUGAAUCCUAUAAAAACAAGCAAAAUUGUGAUGGUAUGUGCAGCACUACACAACUUGUGUAAAGAAAGGAACCUACAACUGCCAGAUGAUGAACAUGAACAUGAAGACCAGCCUGUGGAAGCCAACCCCGUUCAGCCUCUUCAGCGUGACAAUCUUCAAAACGGUGUCUUAGAGAUAAUUUUAUCAACCUUCAUUUCCAGCAUGAACAGUGAGUGCCGUAUGCCCAGGCAGUGUACAGUGUGCCCAGUCUACUUGGACACCAAGCACGAGACUGUCAAACAUCUUGAUUUGUUCUUUCUCCCAUUUAGCUCUCAACAACUCUCUCUUCCUUCUCCUUUUGUUGUCCAUUUUUCUAGUACAGUACAGUAUUUCCUCGGUCAUUAAUUUUUACCUCUUAUCUUCUUCAACCCUUCCACUACAAUGUAUAUUGGGAAAUAAACUCAAUGUUAC